Long non-coding RNA from Hyla sarda, 270 nucleotides. RefSeq lists it as uncharacterized. The record is from RefSeq and is a predicted model, not a curated record. NCBI's taxonomy places the organism in Eukaryota, Metazoa, Chordata, Amphibia, Anura, Hylidae. The transcript is spliced from 3 exons.
GGAAAAGUAUCUAACUUAGAGGAUGAGGAUCUACUGACAAAGUGAGAACCUAUGAUGUCCGGGUGUCAGACUCUGCAGAGAAGAUGGAGCUGGAAGAUGUCCUGACGUCUGGACCAGAUGGAGAAGGAAAGAAAAGACAACCGAGAAGACGUCACUCAGCCUGAUUCUUCUUCAAUAAAAAGACAGCCUUGGACUGCUAGGACGUACACAAGACCAAUGGGCAGUCAACCCACCACUAUAAAAAGGACAAGGCAAAUAAAGUAUAGUCAC